UUGUAGGGAAAAGGCUACGAAAUUACUGGAACAAUUUUGAAAACUCUUUCAAUAUAUCUCUUUUUAUAUCUUCAUAUAACUAAGUAUUACCUACAUUAUUAUUUUUAUUUUGAUUUUGAUCAAUUAAAAUAGUUGUAAAUUAUAUUUAAUACGAAAUGAAAAUAUUGAUCCUGCAUUGACGGGCUGAAACCUCACUAGCUCAACGGUAAAGAGGUCGGACUCAUCAACGAGAAGUCGUGGUUCGAUCCCCACCCGCUGGACUAUUAUCGGUUUUAAGAAUAGUCCCAACACAGCCUUCUCCGGCUAGUUAGAAAGGAACAGGAUUAUUGGUAAUUUUUCAAAAAUAUUAUAAUAAUAUAUCGUCCUUCAGUAAUAAAAAUUAACUUGUUUCGUCACUUUCGAAAUAACUUCGCAGAAGUCGUACCUCAGCGGGCUGUAUCGUAUUUCAUGCGGUUGUAACCCAACACGAGUUGUCCAAUAACGAUAGGGCCGGAAUUAUGCGGUCGGGUGUAAAACGAGCCUUUGUACCUAAGUUUAUGCAAGCUGAUACUAAAGCACUAAAAUAAUCCCAUAAUCGCAUUAGGACAUAGUCUAGACAUUUAGUUACAUGUCCCUAAUGGUCAUUUUAUCUAUACUAAUUAUAAAGUUGAAGAGUUUGUUGAUUGAACGCGCUAAUCUCAGGAACUACUGGUUCGAUUUGAAAAAUUCUUUCAGCGUUAGAUAGCCCAUUUAUCAAGGAAAGCUAUAGGCUAUAUAUUAUCCCGAUAUUCUUACGGGAACGGGAACUACCCGGGUGAAACCGUGAGGCUUCAGCUAGUUUUAUAUAAUAACUUUAAAUAAUGGUAAACUCGCCGUCCUCACAAAAACGCCAAGUUUAUGAGGAUGGUUAUUUAUGUACCUAAUUUUGUAACACUUUUUGUUUUUGGUACAAUAAAAUAAAAAAAAUAAAAACCCUGACUUCUAUUCGAAGGGCGAAGUUUGAAUCCCGUCUGGGGCAUGCACUUUUCAGUUAUGUGCAUUUUAAGAAAUUAAAUAUAACGUGUCUCAAACGGUGAAGAAAAACAUCGUGAGGAAACCUGCAUACCAGAGAAUUUUCUUGAUUCUCUGCGUGUGUGAAGUCUGCCAAUCCGCAUUGGGUCAGCGUGGUGGACUAUUGGCCUAAUCCCUCUCUCUGAGAGGAGACUCGAGCUCAGAAGUGAGCCGAAUAUGGGUUGAUAGCGAUGUGCACUUCAUAAAUGUAUUAAAGUUCUGAAUACCCUAAGACAUGUUUUCCUUAAUACUUAUUAAAUGCAGGUUCUCCCAGGUUAGUUUUUCUUACUAGUGCAUAUUCUGAUCGAGAACCUUAUGCACGCCACUGUAAUUAGCUUACCUCAUCUCAUAUAGUAAAAUAAUUUUAGUUAUUCGACGAGGAUUGAAAACCUUACAACUGCCACAGAUGAUAUAAGACUAGAAGUGCUAGAAGAUAUUGAAAGAAAAAAAAAUGCGUUUAUUUCGAAAUUAUGCCACACAUCACAAUAUCUCCAAAACAUCAGGUCAUCCAGGACAAUACCCUGCGAUGUGUGGCAUAAACCAGAAAAUGGCCCCAUUAAACAAACGACAAACAAGCGAAAAGACACAAAAGGCAUACUUUUUUCAUUUUACCUAAUAAAUAAUUUACACAAUGAUGGUCUUAUUUUAUCUACACGUGAAUUCUGUCAUGAUAUUUUUAUAACUCGACAAAAAAUCGCGUUAGAAAGAGAUAAAUUCAUUUAAAAAUUUGAUCCAAAGGUUGGAAUCCAAAGCUGGAAAUUGUUAAAAGCAAUAACACUGCCUUUGCACAAUGCACAUGCUUGUAUACUGUUAUAUUUAUGUAAUUGCUUUUUGUUUGUGCAAUAAACUUAAUAAACUUUUAAAUAAAAUAAAUGAAAAUUAAAUUAAAUUUCACGCAGACAAAGUCGCGACCGUCCGCUAGUAUAAGUAUAAUCCAAUUAGUAGUCAUUAUCAAUAUUAAUUACUUUUUUAUUGUUAUGUUAAUUUAAUUUUACUUAUGUAAUAAAUAGAUUUGUGAUAAGCCUUAGUAUAAAUAUACGUUACAACCGUCGGGAGACUGUUUUUGGACAACCACAAUGAAAAUCCUACUAUUCAUCGCCGUGGUCGCUUGCGUGAACGCGUUAUACGUAACAGCGGUUCCGUAUAAAUACAUUGGAAACCCCUUGUUUUUGGACAACGGCAAACAUUCUGCUUCGCGCUCCAUGUAUUUGGAUAACUAUGGAGGCAUACGUGCUGCUUCACCCUUGAACAGAGACAAUUGGGAGUGACGAUGGCAUACGUAAUGCUCGUGCUUCGCCUGAAUCUCAAGCAUAAAUAAUAUAAUUGGUACAUUCGUAAGUUAGACCUUAUACAGGAUGCUCCGGAGUACCAUAAUGUAUUUCUCAUUUUACUUAGGCUUUCUCGGACUCACAACAAGAAAUUACUCUCACUUAGACCUCUUUUAUCUUUCCAAAGCACAAUUGAUAAAAGGAAAUUGUUACUACUCAUAGGAAGCAUCUGAAAACAUAAAUGCAGUCAAAUUAACACGCACCAAUCAUCCUCGUAAUCUGUCUGUCUGUCUCACCCAGACACCAGGGCAAUCGCGCGCACACACACGCACACACACACACUCACUCACACACACACACUUGACCCAGUCAAGCUUCGCUUUGACUUAUGUGCACUUCUACCCUAUCCUUACCCCUAUAGAAUAAAUCUUAUUCAAAUCCAACGAACCGAAAACCAUGAAAAUCGGUCCAGCAGAUCUUGAGUUAUAAGUGUUGUAACAAACCCGACUUUCUUAUAUAUAUAUAUAUAUAUAUAGAUUACACUUACAUUGUGAAUUUAAAAAAAAUUUAAUAAUAGAUAUAACAUUAAAAAAUAUUGAUAAUGAUGAUUUUUUAUAAUUUGUAACAUUUGUAAUUUAUCUUUACUUAUAUUUUAAUGUUAUACUUAUUUGAAACUGUAUUGUAUUGUAAAGUAAUAGUAAUCAAUUUCAAUACUGUAAUCCUUGUGGACUUAUGUAAGUUAAUGUUUUCUAAUAGUCAUGUAAUACCUCGUCUCGUUAAUACCUUGAAGUUAUGGGAAAUACUCCUGAAGAAAUUGUUAAAAGCAAUAAAACCGCCUUUGCACAUGCUUAUAAACUAUGUUAAUUUUGUUUUAGUGCAAUAAAGUAUACUUUUUUU
Bicyclus anynana (squinting bush brown) is the source of this 3194-nucleotide long non-coding RNA. RefSeq lists it as uncharacterized. The record is from RefSeq and is a predicted model, not a curated record. Lineage: Eukaryota; Metazoa; Arthropoda; Insecta; Lepidoptera; Nymphalidae. The transcript is spliced from 2 exons.